This 97-nucleotide signal recognition particle RNA is filed under the name Arcobacter sp. FWKO B. RNAcentral describes it as "Bacterial small signal recognition particle RNA". It matches the Rfam family "Bacterial small signal recognition particle RNA". From Rfam's summary of the family: The signal recognition particle (SRP) is a universally conserved ribonucleoprotein involved in the co-translational targeting of proteins to membranes. Archaeal SRP consists of a 7S RNA and homologues of the eukaryotic SRP19 and SRP54 proteins. The record is from Rfam by way of RNAcentral. Lineage: Bacteria; Pseudomonadati; Campylobacterota; Epsilonproteobacteria; Campylobacterales; Arcobacteraceae.
UCUUUAGCCCCUUACAAUUGCUUUAAAAGACAACGCCCCAGGAUGGGAACAUAGCAAGGCACCUUUUAUUGUGGUGUGUUUGGGUAUCUGAAGAGGG